GACGAACGCUGGCGGCGUGCUUAACACAUGCAAGUCGAACGGUAAGGCCCUUCGGGGUACACGAGUGGCGAACGGGUGAGUAACACGUGGGUGAUCUGCCCUGCACUUCGGGAUAAGCCUGGGAAACUGGGUCUAAUACCGGAUAGGACCACUGCCUGCAUGGGUGGUGGUGGAAAGCUUUUGCGGUGUGGGAUGGGCCCGCGGCCUAUCAGCUUGUUGGGGGGGUGAUGGCCUACCAAGGCGACGACGGGUAGCCGGCCUGAGAGGGUGACCGCGCACAGUGGGACUGAGAUACGGCCCAGACGCCUACGGGAGGCAGCGGGGGGGAAUAUUGCACAAUGGGCGCAAGCCUGAUGCAGCGGCGCCGCGUGAGGGAUGACGGCCUUCGGGUUGUAAACCUCUUUCAGCACCGACGAAGCGCAAGUGACGGUAGGUGCAGAAGAAGGACCGGCCAACUACGUGCCAGCCGCCGCAGUAA
RNAcentral lists this ribosomal RNA (478 nucleotides) under uncultured bacterium. RNAcentral's name for it is "partial 16S ribosomal RNA". It matches the Rfam family "Bacterial small subunit ribosomal RNA", at positions 28 to 523 of the family's 1533-position model. The record is from RNAcentral.